CAGUAGCCGCGGUAAUACAGAGGGUGCAAGCGUUAAUCGGAAUUACUGGGCGUAAAGCUCGCGUAGGUGGUUUGUUAAGUUGGAUGUGAAAUCCCCGGGCUCAACCUGGGAACUGCAUCCAAAACUGGCAAGCUAGAGUAUGGUAGAGGGUGGUGGAAUUUCCUGUGUAGCGGUGAAAUGCGUAGAUAUAGGAAGGAACACCAGUGGCGAAGGCGACCACCUGGACUGAUACUGACACUGAGGUGCGAAAGCGUGGGGAGCAAACAGGAUUAGAUACCCCAGUAGUCCCUGUCUCUUAUAC
RNAcentral lists this ribosomal RNA (301 nucleotides) under uncultured bacterium. RNAcentral's name for it is "partial 16S ribosomal RNA". It matches the Rfam family "Bacterial small subunit ribosomal RNA", at positions 509 to 807 of the family's 1533-position model. The record is from RNAcentral.